RNAcentral lists this long non-coding RNA (399 nucleotides) under Medicago truncatula (barrel medic). Its description in RNAcentral is "long non-coding RNA (MTRU_LNC006492)". The record is from RNAcentral. Lineage: Eukaryota; Viridiplantae; Streptophyta; Magnoliopsida; Fabales; Fabaceae.
CCAAUUCCAGCUUCUUCCCUAACCUGGAGAAAGAGAGAUUACUGAAGCUAGGUUGCAUUGCUACAACGGAAGGCUAAACAAGGUGAGUAAACAAAAAUUGAGGAAUGAAAAAUCAUCACUGUGGCUGUUAAUUAGAAACUUGUUUACAAGUUUGUAGGAAAAUGAUAAAGAUGUCAUGGGUAAUUUCGGAAUAUAGAUCUGUCAUAAAAAGCAAAUCUCCAAAACGCAAUUUCAAUUGCCGCAGAAGCUACAAGUUCCAGCUUUGAGUAAACGUGAGUUUGAGGCCUAAACCACGUUCAAGUGAAUCACUUCUGUAGUUUGCCAAACACCAGAAAAAAAUGUGAAACCGCGUUUGAAUUUAUAAACGCACGUUUGAAGCCACAAAACGUGGAACCAAAC